RNAcentral lists this ribosomal RNA (988 nucleotides) under Candidatus Woesearchaeota archaeon. RNAcentral describes it as "bacterial SSU rRNA". It matches the Rfam family "Archaeal small subunit ribosomal RNA", at positions 1 to 896 of the family's 1478-position model. Lineage: Archaea; Nanobdellati; Candidatus Woesearchaeota. The record is from RNAcentral.
AUUCCCGUUGAUCCUGCGGGAGGUUGCUGCUAUUAGGGUUCGACUAAGCCAUGCAAGUCUUCUCGCAAGAGAGGCAAACUGCUCAGUAACACGUCGAUAAUCUGCCCUUAGGUCUAGGAUAACUUCGGGAAACUGAAGCUAAAACUGGAUAGGAGAAUUAUAUUGGAAUAUUUUUUCUUCAAAAAGAAAUGCCUAAGGAUGAGUUGGCGGCGGAUUAGGUUGUUGGUGAGGUAAUGGCUCACCAAGCCGAAGAUCCGUAGGGGCCUUGAAAGAGGAAGCCCCGAGAAGGGCACUGAGAUACUGGCCCUAGCCCCACGGGGUGCAGCAGGCGCGAAACCUUUACAAUGCACGAAAGUGUGAUAAGGGAACCCUAAGUGCUUUACUUUUGUAAGGCUUUUGUUAAGAGUAAAAAUCUUGACGAAUAAGUGGUGGGUAAGACGGGUGCCAGCCGCCGCGGUAACACCCGCGCCACGAGUGGGAACCACUAUUAUUGGGCCUAAAGCGUCCGUAGCCGGUUUAACAAAUCUUUUGUGAAAUUGUUAAGCUUAACUUAACGGUGUGCAGAAGACACUGUUAAACUUGGAACUGGGAGGAGUCAGAAGUAUUUCUAGGGGAGCGGUAAAAUGCUAUAAUCCUAGAAAGACUACCUGUGGCGAAGGCGUCUGACUAGAACAGUUUCGACGGUGAGGGACGAAAGCCAGGGGAGCGAUCCGGAUUAGAUACGAGAAAUUUUCUUCAAAAAUUUCUGGAGUUAGGCUCGUAAAUUUCGCUGUUAAACUACGUUUACGAGUUGAAUCUGGAAGUAAUGGAAAUUUACUCGCUAACUACCCGAGUAGUCCUGGCUGUAAACGCUGCGAGCAAGGUGUUACAUAUUCUUUGUGAAUAUGUGGUGUCGAAAUGAAGAUGUUAAGCUCGCCGCCUGGGAAGUAUGGUCGCAAGACUGAAACUUAAAGGAAUUGGCGGGGGAGCACUACAAGGGGUGCGGCGU